RNAcentral lists this long non-coding RNA (246 nucleotides) under Olea europaea (common olive). RNAcentral describes it as "long non-coding RNA (OEUR_LNC015271)". Lineage: Eukaryota; Viridiplantae; Streptophyta; Magnoliopsida; Lamiales; Oleaceae. The record is from RNAcentral.
GUUGAACAGAGACGUCUUCUUCUGGUCCAUAUUACAAGAAAAGUUUUCUUUCUUGGGAGAUUUUCCUUCCUUAAAAAGCCAUUGGGCGAAGAAGAACCUAUUAGUUGAGAAACAAUAACUUUGCAAAGUAUGUCUGGCAAGAUGUUUAUAAACAGGGAUAAAUGAAUGUCGGAUUCAGGAGGACGAAAAAUACUUUGAUACAUAGAAAAAUAAUUUUCAUACCAUGAAAAAUGAAAUGGACUUGGG